AGAGCUCCGGUUGGCGCUGAUUAGCAGCGUCUCCAUGCUCGAGGGAAGGCAUGGCAAGGCUCCUCAGGGAGCUCCAGGUGCUCGCUAUGUAGUAAUGGCAGCCUGUGCUGGAGGACAGCCUCGGCAAAAUUGAGCUGUGGCUUUCAUGCUGUCCAGCAGCGAGAUGCCACACUCACGACACCGAUUUGAGGGGUAGAACUGGUUAUUUAGUUACCAUCCAUGGAUAAGUCUCGCACAGGUGGAAAAGCUGAAGGUUGUGGCACAUCCAUGUUGGGCGCCAGUCUGUGGCGAGUGCUGGUCCAGGAUGGUCAUGACAGACGGAGACGAGAGAUCUAGAGCCCGAUCUUAGGAUAUAUGGUUUAUUGUGGGGGCCCUGCUCGGAGCUGCCAGGCACAGACCGAAGCAGGCCCCAAGGAGUGGGGGCAGGGCGAGAUAGCAAAAGGGUCCAAGAGAGAGGCAAAAGAGCAAGAAGAAAAACAAAGAGAAGAGAAGAAGAUGGCCCCGGCUUCUCGGGUACACCUUAUCAAGGGGCUUGAAGGUGGAUGCGGAAAAGGACUUUGGACCAAUGGGAUUACAGAUACAUUAUACUUCAGGGGAUGGUUACAACUGCAAGACAAACUCUACAUUUUUGAGGAAUGAGACAGAACACUUUAUCUGACCCUUUGCUUUGUCUGUGGGUCAAAAAAGGGAGUUAUCUUCCACCAGCUACACCACUGCCCACUAGCUACUUAGCAACCAAGGUCUGUCAUCUCAAAGCUCUUUUUCAUCUCAAUCUGGCUCACAUUCUCUGCACUUUCCCAAUCUCCCACUAGGCAAUCAUACUUAUAAGGCCGCCUUCUUUCAUCUUCCCCAACAGGUGUCAGGUUCUAAAAAUUGUGGGGGAGGGUGUUAAUUGUUUAUUAGAGGUAUUUUACCACCUACGUAGCAGACUUGCAUCUUUGUAUUUUGACUUUGGAAGAGGUUGAGAAACAAAUUAAAGGUUAUGAAUUAGCAACAUUUCUGAUUACAUAUGCUUUUGCAUUCAAGAAUUGUAAAAGACUGAAGCAACAAUGAAGUGAGGCUUUGCAUGCAUAUAAGUGCAGUAGCCAAACUGUUGAAGCAGAUUUAGGCAAGAUCCUGAAACUUCUUAACAUUUUGUUUUCUGAAAAUUUGUUCAAGAUAAAUUUUUCCUCCCUUAAAUGAAGGAAGUUAAAUGCUCAACUGCAUGCUUUUGUAAAAUUCUGAGAUCAUCUUGUACCUGGGGACAUCACCACUAGUACCUAAACUAUAUAGCAAAGUGGUUCGAGUUUGGCCUUUAUAUGCUUUGUCCAUGCGUUUCACUGCUUGCAGUGAGUUGCAGGUAUUCCAUUGACUCAUUUGUUUUUAGAUCUUCCAGCUGUGAAUUUACAGAGUUGCAAUCUGCAAUUGAAAGGGAUGGCGGUCCAGUCCUGUGUUUGCUGCCAGAACUGGCUUUAGCUCAGCACCCUGUGUAUUGGACAGUCUUCCUGGUUUUCUAUGGGAGUGGUGUGGAAACAGAAAAAUCACUAUGAUAAGCUGCUGCUUUUUCUGAUUUCACUUUUUUAUCCUGUGUGAAUGCAUUUAUUUCUUAUGAUCCAAAACCUGCUGUCCAAGACUGAGCACCAAGAUGUUUCCUAUUACCAUCCGAGUAGCAGUUGCAUCUGGACAGUUUUCCUUAUCUCCUGUUAUAUCAAUGUCUCGCCUCGUGACUCAGAGAUAACACUCUCCAAGAGCCAGUUCUGUUUAACAGGUGAUUAAGGACACACCUUGUGACUCAAAAUAACAUCAGCCCAUUGUGAGGUGCUCUGCCCAGGGGGAGAAGCUAGGCAUUCCCACCCGGAUAAAUCCAGGGAUUUCUAGACAGAAAGGCAGCCUUUCCACAGGUUUCCAAGAAGACACAGCAACCACAUCUGCCACUCCAAGAGGACUGCAGCCACUCCAAUUUGGACUGCUACCAGCACGCUGGCCAAAGUGGGUGUCAGGUUGUAUUCUGACUUUGCCAGUGGUCUUCCUUUUGUAUCAUUGUGUGUAUUUUUGUCUUUUGUUUUCCCUUUUCCCAAUAAAUUGUAUUUCUGA
Molecule: long non-coding RNA, 2073 nt
Organism: Vidua chalybeata
Lineage: Eukaryota; Metazoa; Chordata; Aves; Passeriformes; Viduidae
Exons: 2
Source: RefSeq, a predicted model, not a curated record